Molecule: long non-coding RNA, 728 nt
Organism: Oncorhynchus tshawytscha (Chinook salmon)
Lineage: Eukaryota; Metazoa; Chordata; Actinopteri; Salmoniformes; Salmonidae
Source: Ensembl
GUACUAGGGAUGGAGGAGUGACCAGGCAGGUACUAGGGAUGGAGGAGUGACCAGGCAGGUACUAGGGAUGGAGGAGUGACCAGGCAGGUACUAGAGAUGGAGGAGUGACCAGGCAGGUACUAGGGAUGGAGGAGUGACCAGGGAGGUACUACAGUAGGGAUGGAGGAGUGACCAUGGAGGUACCACAGUAGGGAUGGAGGAGUGACCAGACAGGUACUAGAGAUGGAGGAGUGACCAGGCAGGUCUGGGCAGAGGAGAUAUAGUCGUUGUUUGUCUGCGUCUGUCAGUUAUUGGUAUGUGUAUGUUGGAAUUUGGUUUGAAAGAAGAAAAAAAAAGAGAAAAAAAAAAUGUUAUUUUGUGUGCUGCAAUAAAUGAUGAAUAAAAUAAAUGCUUAUGUGUCGAUAGGUAUAGUACUGUACGUCAUUAUUCAGUUCAAGCACACAAAGUCUGGGAUUCAAUCAAAGGUGUGUUGUCGACAAACUCACCUGUCAGUUCAGUAGUCAAACCCACCUGUUAGUUCAGUAGUCAAACCCACCUGUCAGUUCAGUAGUCAAACCCACCUCAGUCAGUUCAGUAGACAAACCCACCUGUCAGUUCAGUAGUCAAACCCACCUGUUAGUUCAGUAGACAAACCCACCUGUCAGUUCAGUAGUCAAACCCACCUCAGUCAGUUCAGUAGUCAAACCAACCUGUCAGUUCAGUAGUCAAACCCACCUCAGUCAGUUCAG